This 253-nucleotide ribosomal RNA is filed under the name uncultured bacterium. RNAcentral's name for it is "partial 16S ribosomal RNA". It matches the Rfam family "Bacterial small subunit ribosomal RNA", at positions 524 to 776 of the family's 1533-position model. The record is from RNAcentral.
UACGGAGGGGGCCAGCGUUGUUCGGAAUCAUUGGGCGUAAAGGGCGCGUAGGCGGCUUGGUAAGUCGGUCGUGAAAUCCCUCGGCUCAACUGAGGAACUGCGUCCGAUACUGCUGAGCUCGAGUCCCGGAGAGGGAAGCGGAAUUCCCAGUGUAGCGGUGAAAUGCGUAGAUAUUGGGAGGAACAUCGGUGGCGAAGGCGGCUUCCUGGACGGGUACUGACGCUGAGGCGCGAAAGCGUGGGGAGCAAACAGG